GGCUCAGAUUGAACGCUGGCGGCAUGCCUUACACAUGCAAGUCGAACGGCAGCGGACCUUCGGGUGCCGGCGAGUGGCGAACGGGUGAGUAAUAUAUCGGAACGUACCUUUCAGUGGGGGAUAACGUAGCGAAAGUUACGCUAAUACCGCAUAUUCUGUGAGCAGGAAAGCAGGGGAUCGCAAGACCUUGCGCUGAUUGAGCGGCCGAUAUCAGAUUAGCUAGUUGGUGAGGUAAAGGCUCACCAAGGCGACGAUCUGUAGCGGGUCUGAGAGGAUGAUCCGCCACACUGGAACUGAGACACGGUCCAGACUCCUACGGGAGGCAGCAGUGGGGAAUUUUGGACAAUGGGCGCAAGCCUGAUCCAGCCAUGCCGCGUGAGUGAAGAAGGCCUUCGGGUUGUAAAGCUCUUUCGGCCGGGAAGAAAUCGCACGGGUUAAUACCCUGUGUGGAUGACGGUACCGGAAUAAGAAGCACCGGCUAACUACGUG
This 489-nucleotide ribosomal RNA is filed under the name uncultured bacterium. Its description in RNAcentral is "bacterial SSU rRNA". It matches the Rfam family "Bacterial small subunit ribosomal RNA", at positions 21 to 507 of the family's 1533-position model. The record is from RNAcentral.